RNAcentral lists this ribosomal RNA (492 nucleotides) under uncultured bacterium. RNAcentral describes it as "partial 16S ribosomal RNA". It matches the Rfam family "Bacterial small subunit ribosomal RNA", at positions 30 to 507 of the family's 1533-position model. The record is from RNAcentral.
AUUGAACGCUGGCGGCAGGCCUAACACAUGCCAGUCGAACGGCAGCAGAGUGAUUGCUUGUUGUUACGGGGGGCGACGGGCGGGUGAUUCCUGGGAACAUCCCUAGCUACUUGUGCUAGGGUGAUAACGUAGGGACACAUACCCUAUUAGUGCAUACGACGUAAGGGUGGGAUCUUGGGAUCUUCCGCUCUUGCGUGAGCGUAGGAGGCGAUGUCGGGUUAGCUAGUUGGUGGGGUAAAGGCCCACCAAGGCGACGAUCCGUAGCUGGUCUGAGAGGAUGAUCAGCCACACUGGAACUGAGACACGGUCCAGACUCCUACGGGAGGCAGCAGUGGGGAAUAUUGGACAAUGGGCGAAAGCCUGAUCCAGCCAUACCGCGUGUGUGAAGAAGGCCUUCGGGUUGUAAAGCACUUUUGUUGGGGAAGAAGAGCAGUAAGUUAAUACCUUGCUGUUUUGACGGUACCAAAAGAAUAAGCACCGGCUAACUUCGUG